This 253-nucleotide ribosomal RNA is filed under the name uncultured bacterium. RNAcentral describes it as "partial 16S ribosomal RNA". It matches the Rfam family "Bacterial small subunit ribosomal RNA", at positions 524 to 776 of the family's 1533-position model. The record is from RNAcentral.
UACGAAGGGGGCUAGCGUUGUUCGGAAUUACUGGGCGUAAAGGGCGCGCAGGCGGCUCUGAAAGUCAGAUGUGAAAGCCCCGGGCUUAACCUGGGAAUUGCAUUUGAUACUCUGGAGCUUGAGUGUGGGAGAGGAGAGUGGAAUUCCCAGUGUAGAGGUGAAAUUCGUAGAUAUUGGGAAGAACACCGGUGGCGAAGGCGGCUCUCUGGACCACAACUGACGCUGAGGCGCGAAAGCGUGGGGAGCAAACAGG